ACCAGACACUUUUGGAUAACAUAAAUAGGAAACAAAUAAAAUAAUAACAGUCAGUAGGCUACACAAACAUUAGUUUCCAUUCAUACAAAGUGUCGGGUAAAUUACCACAGUAGAUUUGGCGUGGUAAAUGAGGAAAUAGUUGAUUUAUUUUGUACGGAAUGCUUGUCAAAUAGAUAAAUCACCCUUAGUCUGUUCAAAAAGGACUAAAUUGUUGCGAUGACAACACCAACCAGAGGGCGAACAUAGCAUCUUUCAGGGAGCUGUAAUGAGGUGACCAAUUAAUGGUUGCAAUUAAGAUCAGCUGUGAAGGUGAAUUUAGCACGUAUCGGUGGUUUAACAAGACCAGCUGGCAAUAAUAAGGUUGCUACCUGUUGAGGCAGAAUUUCCAGGCAGGACUUCAAAAUUGGCAUGUCCCAAUUCCAUGUAUCCAUCGCCGGGAAGCUAUCCGUUAACACCUUGCGGCGUAGCAAAAAAAUGAUUGACGGCAGACAGAAGACCACACUUGGGAGAACAUUUUCCAGAAAUCCACAAAAUAGACUAAAGUGGCACCUGAUCACGUUUCACUCCAUUGUAUUGGCUUGACAGGAGAAAAACAGUCCUGCACGACUCGUUUGGAAGUUGAAUGAUAUUCCACCCUGCAGAUGUAAGGAACUUGUUAUGAACCUCCCAGCCACCAGGAUAAUCACCAUAUCCCAGGAUAUUAUUUAGGAGUGUUCCAACCUCACAAUGUUAGAAAUAGAUUCACCCAUGAUAUUAUUUAUCAUGCAGAUUUGUCAGGACAUUGUAAUUUAUAAAGUUAAUUCUGAAAUAUGAUAUCUGCCCCAGGGGAUUCAGUUUAGGCCCCAAUUAGGUGUUAGUGAAGGGCUGAAAAAAAACAACGGUAAACUCCUGUCUCAAAUAAGACCUGAAGGUCAGUCAAUCAGGAAAAUCAUGGAGUGAGUAGGUGUGUCCAUCAUUUUGAUAUAUAUAUAUAUAUUAAAAAAAAAAAAAAAAAAAAAAAAAAUUUGGACAUGUUAUCCUUCAUCACAUGCAACUAUUUAUUUUGUAUCCAUUGCAUUUAGCUUACAUUAGGAAGAAGUAGCCUAGGCAGUCUAAUCUAGUUACAGUAGAUUGCAUCGUAUCACCUUUCAAUAUUAUUAACGAAUAUGAAACCAUGUUAACUAGAACAUAUAAUUUAAUAUUCAUGGGUGUCAUAUUUGUAUGACUAUCACAAUGCAAGCCUACUCAUUAGAAAAAUACAGCAGCUCUAAUGCAAUAUUAGCUUCACAAUGAAACACCACUAUUCUUAAACAGUCAGUGAAAUAGCUUAUUUAGCAGUAAAUGAAAAUCGUAGCCUGUAUGAUAUCAUGCAUGCAAACUUGUCAUGUCCACAACAAUGGAGCAGCAAACCAAGCAACAUACGAGAGGACCCCGUACCGUAGGAUAAUAAUUCUGGUUGGUGUCAACUUCAUUCAUAAUUCAGGUACUGAGGAGCUCGAUUCAGUUACUUGUUAAUCUGUUAUUCGUGUCAGAUGUUUCCAUUUUGGGAUAUCCUUGCUGCACAAUUUUCCUACUGCAAUGAAAUGGGUAAUAUUAAGAUCCGACAUCUGUACAUAGUAGUACUCUAACUGUUUUCUAGUAAUUCUAUAGGCAGACUCUUAAAAAAAAAAAAGGUGCUGCCUAGUACCUAAAAGGGUUAUUUGACUGUUCCCAUAGGAUAACCUUUUGAAAAAGCCUUUGACUCCAGAUAGAACCCUUUUGCGUUCAUGUAGAACAGUUUACACAGAGUGUUCUACGAU
RNAcentral lists this long non-coding RNA (1778 nucleotides) under Salmo trutta (river trout). RNAcentral describes it as "lncRNA (ENSSTUG00000032312.1)". The record is from RNAcentral. Lineage: Eukaryota; Metazoa; Chordata; Actinopteri; Salmoniformes; Salmonidae.